GGGCCUGGGAUUCUGCAUUUCUAACAAGUUCC
This 32-nucleotide microRNA is filed under the name Canis lupus familiaris (dog). RNAcentral describes it as "miRNA (ENSCAFG00000050992.1)". The record is from RNAcentral. Lineage: Eukaryota; Metazoa; Chordata; Mammalia; Carnivora; Canidae.